RNAcentral lists this long non-coding RNA (884 nucleotides) under Olea europaea subsp. europaea. The record is from RNAcentral. Lineage: Eukaryota; Viridiplantae; Streptophyta; Magnoliopsida; Lamiales; Oleaceae.
CAUGAUUAUGAGAUGAUCUUUACAGUGUUAUGACAAUGUCUUACUUUUUGUCUAUAAUUGUACGAGGCUAUCAUGUGAAUUACUAAACGAUAUGAACUUAAUGUCUACGUAUGGAAAAAAUGUUUAAAGGAGAAAGUAUGAUUAUUUUUGAACUCUUCCACUCAUUGAGCUAUCAACUCAUAUUUUGCUAAAAUUAUUUUUACAUGUAGUAUUGGUCCUUGAUAGCUUGAGGACAUGGUGAUUUCAAAGUUAGAGCCACACGACAUGUUGAAGAAUAUGAGUCAAUUUGAUUAAACCACGAAGUAAAGUUUUGGGCCCAUUUAUAAACAUUUGAUUUUAUUGCAUAUCUUGUAGUAACUCAUAGUGAGCCUUCGUGAUGGAGUUGACAUCUAGUCAACAUCUAUUAUCGACGCACACCAUGUUUUGGGUCCACUAGGGUGAUUCGGGAUGGGUCGUGUCAAUAUUCAUAUUACUUAUACUCAUAGCAUGCAUGAUUUUUAUUUAUUGGACGUUGACUUAUGUAGUUAUUGCAUGGUAGGUAAGAAUGUAACUUCAUGGAAAGUAUGGCUAGCUGUGAAGCUCUUGCUGGAUUUCGAAGUUUGAUGUACAUGGAUGACGACUUCUAGGGUUAUCUUGUGGGCUAUUGUUUUAGUCUUAUAAUCUAUUGUAUUAUAUUUGGAGAAUUUUGUACUAUAUAUAUGACUUUUGAAAUGGCAUGAUAGAUACUUUUGGAACCCUCAAAAUAAAUAUGUUGAAAUUUAGUUAUACAGUAUUUGGUCAUAACAUACCAUAUGUGCAUCAUAGGUAACUAGGCGAGAGACCUUAUUGUGAAGAUGCUUAUUUCAUUUUAUCUGGCAAAAAAAAUAUGAAAUCCUUUGUCUAGG